Molecule: ribosomal RNA, 283 nt
Filed under: uncultured prokaryote
Description: partial 16S ribosomal RNA
Rfam family: Bacterial small subunit ribosomal RNA
Source: RNAcentral
CCUAGGGUGGCUGCAGUGGGGGAUAUUGCACAAUGGGCGAAAGCCUGAUGCCGCAACGCCGCGUGGGGGAAGACGGUUUUCGGAUUGUAAACCUCUGUCUUUGGUGAAGAAAGAAAUGACGGUAGCCGAGGAGGAAGCCACGGCUAACUACGUGCCAGCAGCCGCGGUAAUACGGAGGUGGCAAGCGUUGUCCGGAAUUACUGGGUGUAAAGGGAGCGCAGGCGGGAGAGCAAGUCAGCUGUGAAAACUAUGGGCUUAACCCAGAAACUGCAGUUGAAACUGU